UUUGCUACGGAAUAGUCCCGGGAAACUGGGUUUAAUACCGUAUACGCUCUUCGGAGGAAAGAUUUAUCGGCAAAGGAUCGGCCCGCGUUGGAUUAGGUAGUUGGUGGGGUAAUGGCCUACCAAGCCGACGAUCCAUAGCUGGUUUGAGAGGAUGAUCAGCCACACUGGGACUGAGACACGGCCCAGACUCCUACGGGAGGCAGCAGUGGGGAAUCUUAGACAAUGGGGGAAACCCUGAUCUAGCCAUGCCGCGUGAGCGAUGAAGGCCUUAGGGUUGUAAAGCUCUUUCGCUGGGGAAGAUAAUGACGGUACCCAGUAAAGAAGCCCCGGCUAACUCCGUGCCAGCAGCCGCGGUAAUACGGAGGGGGCUAGCGUUGUUCGGAAUUACUGGGCGUAAAGCGCGCGUAGGCGGAUUGGAAAGUUGGGGGUGAAAUCCCGGGGCUCAACCCCGGAACUGCCUCCAAAACUAUCAGUCUGGAGUUCGAGAGAGGUGAGUGGAAUUCCGAGUGUAGAGGUGAAAUUCGUAGAUAUUCGGAGGAACACCAGUGGCGAGGGCGGCUCACUGGCUCGAUACUGACGCUGAGGUGCGAAAGUGUGGGGAGCAAACAGGAUUAGAUACCCUGGUAGUCCACACCGUAAACGAUGAAUGCCAGACGUCGGGCAGUAUACUGUUCGGUGUCAC
RNAcentral lists this ribosomal RNA (682 nucleotides) under uncultured bacterium. Its description in RNAcentral is "bacterial SSU rRNA". It matches the Rfam family "Bacterial small subunit ribosomal RNA", at positions 132 to 849 of the family's 1533-position model. The record is from RNAcentral.